UACAGAGGUCUCAAGCGUUGUUCGGAUUCAUUGGGCGUAAAGGGCGCGUAGGCGGCGGGGUAAGUCGGGUGUGAAAUCUCAGAGCUCAACUCUGAAACUGCACUCGAUACUGCUCUGCUUGAGGACUGGAGAGGAGACUGGAAUUCACGGUGUAGCAGUGAAGUGCGUAGAUAUCGUGAGGAAGACCAGUGGCGAAGGCGGGUCUCUGGACAGUUCCUGACGCUGAGGCGCGAAGGCCAGGGGAGCAAACGGG
RNAcentral lists this ribosomal RNA (253 nucleotides) under uncultured bacterium. RNAcentral describes it as "partial 16S ribosomal RNA". It matches the Rfam family "Bacterial small subunit ribosomal RNA", at positions 524 to 776 of the family's 1533-position model. The record is from RNAcentral.